Molecule: transfer RNA, 855 nt
Filed under: Rhizobium sp.
Lineage: Bacteria; Pseudomonadati; Pseudomonadota; Alphaproteobacteria; Hyphomicrobiales; Rhizobiaceae
Description: partial contains 16S-23S ribosomal RNA intergenic spacer and 23S ribosomal RNA
Rfam family: tRNA (bases 30-103)
Source: RNAcentral
CCAGUUUAGGCUGGGCCGGUUCCCCGAAUGGGCCCGUAGCUCAGUUGGUUAGAGCACACGCUUGAUAAGCGUGGGGUCGGAAGUUCAAGUCUUCCCGGGCCCACCAUUCGCAUCUGCGGAUGAGGGUUAGGGAUGAUGGAAUGUGGCUGAUGCGGAACGUUGCCGAACCUGGUUCAUACCAGGCGAUCGAGCUGAUGGGGCUGUAGCUCAGCUGGGAGAGCACCUGCUUUGCAAGCAGGGGGUCAGCGGUUCGAUCCCGCUCAGCUCCACCAAAUCGAUUGGUGUUGAGACUGACGGUGACGGCAUUGUCUUUUGAAGAAAAUAAAAGUUUGCAUCGGCUAGGGCCUGAUGCCUGUUCUGCAUACAUUGUGAAGAGAAGAUUGAUCUGGAGGCUUCCAGGUGUUUUGGACUUAUGUCCGGAACGUCCGAGCCCAGUUCCUGUGAACCCAUGGAUGGCCUAGCCGGCCGGAUGUGGUGGAGGGAUUGGAGGGUGGAAGGAAGCUUGUCGCUCUGGAUCGUUUGUUGUUCGUUGCCUUCGGGCUUCGUCUGAUAAGCGAUCGGAUUACCGUUGCCUGACCGCGCGGUAUCGGAUCCAAUCUCGAGAAGCUGGUCUUAAGACCUGACACAAGCGAGCUGCUCGGCGUAGCUCCAAUAAAGUGCUCAGGUCGAACACGUCGAUGGCAUUGUUGGAUUGACUGGGUUGUAAAAGGUAACCCGGUCUGUUGCCGUUUCCUUCGGGGACGGUAGCGAGAUGAUGAGCAUUGGCAAUGAGAACGAUUAAGUGUCGUAAGGGCAUUUGGUGGAUGCCUUGGCAUGCACAGGCGAUGAAGGACGUGAUACGCUGCGAAAAGCCGU